GGGAAGCAUCAAAGAGUUGUGUGAUGUUAUCUGAUACAAUCUUCCUAUAUCAAAAGAAAAAUCUCUGCAUUUCCUGCUUGCGGUAGCUGAGCUUUGUUCCGCGAGUCUCAUAUCAUGCAAAGACAUUA
Brassica rapa (field mustard) is the source of this 128-nucleotide non-coding RNA. The record is from Rfam. NCBI's taxonomy places the organism in Eukaryota, Viridiplantae, Streptophyta, Magnoliopsida, Brassicales, Brassicaceae.